Molecule: ribosomal RNA, 461 nt
Filed under: uncultured bacterium
Lineage: Bacteria
Description: bacterial SSU rRNA
Rfam family: Bacterial small subunit ribosomal RNA
Source: RNAcentral
GACGAACGCUGGCGGCGUGCUUAACACAUGCAAGUCGAACGGGAGUAUUGAAGAAGCUUGCUUUAGAGAUACUUUAGUGGCGGACGGGUGAGUAACGCGUGAGGAGCUGUCCAAUGCAGGGGGACAACAGUUGGAAACGACUGCUAAUACCCCAUAAGCCGAGAGGUAAAAGGAUUUAUCCGGCAAUGGAGGUACUCGCGUCCUAUCAGCUAGUAGGUGAGGUAACGGCUCACCUAGGCGAAGACGGGUAGCCGGCCUGAGAGGGCGAACGGGCCAACGACUGGAACUGAGAUACGGUCCAGACUCCUACGGGAGGCAGCAGUGGGGAAUAUUGGGCAAUGGGGGGAACCCUGACCCAGCGACGCCGCGUGGGUGAAGAAAUCCUUCGGGAUGUAAAGCCCUGUUGUAUGGGAAGAGCGGAAGACGGUACCAUACGAGGAAAGCCCCGGGCAAACUACGUG